This is a non-coding RNA of Schizosaccharomyces pombe (fission yeast), 306 nucleotides long. The record is from the annotation of a GenBank genome assembly. NCBI's taxonomy places the organism in Eukaryota, Fungi, Ascomycota, Schizosaccharomycetes, Schizosaccharomycetales, Schizosaccharomycetaceae.
GCUAAAAAUCAAACGACUUUCGUCCACACCCAUAAAGACGGAGCGCGGAUUACGCUAGCCGCGACCAAACUUCAUAUUACCGCUUUGCUUGGUAGAGAUCAAGAAAAACUCUCAGCAAAAAUUGAUUCUUUACUAUUAAAAUACAAUUGAAGCACUAUUCACUGUGGUAAUUUGAGAUUGUUCGAAACAAAAAAAAUAUUUAUUAUAAUAAAUUCCUUGUUACGCCAAAGAUUAUUUAUUGAAACAAAAUAUAUAGGUACAGCAGAUUCAUAGAUUAUAAAGAGAAUAACAGAAAUGAUAACAAAA